AUUGAACGCUGGCGGCAGGCUUAACACAUGCAAGUCGAGCGGAGAUGAGGUGCUUGCACCUUAUCUUAGCGGCGGACGGGUGAGUAAUGCUUAGGAAUCUGCCUAUUAGUGGGGGACAACAUCCCGAAGGGGAUGCUAAUACCGCAUACGUCCUACGGGAGAAAAGCAGGGGAUCUUCGGACCUUGCGCUAAUAGAUGAGCCUAAGUCGGAUUAGCUAGUUGGUGGGGUAAAGGCCUACCAAGGCGACGAUCUGUAGCGGGUCUGAGAGGAUGAUCCGCCACACUGGGACUGAGACACGGCCCAGACUCCUACGGGAGGCAGCAGUGGGGAAUAUUGGACAAUGGGGGGAACCCUGAUCCAGCCAUGCCGCGUGUGUGAAGAAGGCCUUAUGGUUGUAAAGCACUUUAAGCGAGGAGGAGGCUACUGAGACUAAUACUCUUGGAUAGUGGACGUUACUCGCAGAAUAAGCACCGGCUAACUCUGUG
This 486-nucleotide ribosomal RNA is filed under the name uncultured bacterium. Its description in RNAcentral is "bacterial SSU rRNA". It matches the Rfam family "Bacterial small subunit ribosomal RNA", at positions 30 to 507 of the family's 1533-position model. The record is from RNAcentral.